UACGUAGGGUGCAAGCGUUAAUCGGAAUUACUGGGCGUAAAGCGUGCGCAGGCGGUUCUGUAAGACAGAUGUGAAAUCCCCGGGCUUAACCUGGGAAUUGCAUUUGUGACUGCAGGACUAGAGUACAUCAGAGGGGGGUGGAAUUCCAAGUGUAGCAGUGAAAUGCGUAGAUACUUGGAAGAACACCAAUGGCGAAGGCAGCCCCCUGGGAUGCGACUGACGCUCAUGCACGAAAGCGUGGGGAGCAAACAGG
Molecule: unclassified non-coding RNA, 253 nt
Filed under: uncultured Gammaproteobacteria bacterium
Lineage: Bacteria; Pseudomonadati; Pseudomonadota; Gammaproteobacteria
Description: contains 16S-23S intergenic spacer region
Rfam family: Bacterial small subunit ribosomal RNA
Source: RNAcentral